RNAcentral lists this small RNA (125 nucleotides) under Marmota monax (woodchuck). Lineage: Eukaryota; Metazoa; Chordata; Mammalia; Rodentia; Sciuridae. The record is from RNAcentral.
GCCAGGUAUGGUGGUGCACGUCUGUAAUCCCAGCAGCUCGGGAGGCUGAGGCAGGAGGAUCACCAGUUCAAAGCCAGCCUCAACAACAGUGAGGUGCUAAGCAACUCAGUGAGACUCUGUCUCUA